UCUUCAUAACCUAGCCGCCAUUAUUUUCCUCUGCAAUUUUAUAAUUUCAGCCUCUUAUUUUCUUCAACAUCCGACAAUUUAUUCUUCUACGCCUUGAGUUUGGUUGGGUGAAGGGAACUCAUCACUCCAAAGCGCCUCUCCACGCCGCUUUCUCUCCUCACGAUCGGCGCUCCUCACCGCCGUCGAAUCGCCAUCGCACGCACAGACGACUCUCCUGCAUAUCCCCCUCUAAAAUUGGCAAAAGAGAAUGAAAGUCAAGAUUAUACGUAUCC
This is a long non-coding RNA of Salvia splendens (bonfire salvia), 272 nucleotides long. RefSeq lists it as uncharacterized. NCBI's taxonomy places the organism in Eukaryota, Viridiplantae, Streptophyta, Magnoliopsida, Lamiales, Lamiaceae. The record is from RefSeq and is a predicted model, not a curated record. The transcript has 3 exons.